Molecule: ribosomal RNA, 400 nt
Filed under: uncultured bacterium
Lineage: Bacteria
Description: bacterial SSU rRNA
Rfam family: Bacterial small subunit ribosomal RNA
Source: RNAcentral
UUAGGAAUUUUGCGCAAUGGGGGAAACCCUGACGCAGCAACGCCGCGUGAGUGAAGAAGGCCUUAGGGUUGUAAAGCUCUUUCAGCAGGGAAGACAAAAAUGACGGUACCUGCAGAAGAAGCACCGGCUAACUCCGUGCCAGCAGCCGCGGUAAUACGGAGGGUGCAAGCGUUAUUCGGAUUGACUGGGCGUAAAGCGCACGUAGGCGGUUCGCUAAGUCUGAUGUGAAAUCCCUGGACUCAAUCCAGGAAGUGCAUUGGAUACUGGUGAACUAGAGUACAGGAGAGGAGAGCGGAAUUCCAGGUGUAGAGGUGAAAUUCGUAGAUAUCUGGAGGAACAACAGAGGCGAAGGCGGCUCUCUGGACUGUAACUGACGCUAAGGUGCGAAAGCGUGGGGAGC